RNAcentral lists this ribosomal RNA (542 nucleotides) under uncultured bacterium. Its description in RNAcentral is "bacterial SSU rRNA". It matches the Rfam family "Bacterial small subunit ribosomal RNA", at positions 392 to 947 of the family's 1533-position model. The record is from RNAcentral.
UCACGCCGCGUGAGGGAUGAACGCCUCUGGGUCUGUAAACCUCUUUUAUCAAGGAAGAAGAUCUGACGGUACUUGAUGAAUAAGCCACGGCUAAUUCCGUGCCAGCAGCCGCGGUAAUACGGGAGUGGCAAGCGUUAUCCGGAAUUAUUGGGCGUAAAGCGUCCGCAGGCGGUCUUGUAAGUCUGUCGUUAAAGCGUGGAGCUUAACUCCAUUUGAGCGAUGGAAACUGCAAGACUAGAGUGUGGUAGGGGCAGAGGGAAUUCCCGGUGUAGCGGUGAAAUGCGUAGAUAUCGGGAAGAACACCAGUGGCGAAGGCGCUCUGCUGGGCCAUAACUGACGCUCAUGGACGAAAGCCAGGGGAGCGAAAGGGAUUAGAUACCCCUGUAGUCCUGGCCGUAAACGAUGAACACUAGGUGUCGGGGGAAUCGACCCCCUCGGUGUCGUAGCCAACGCGUUAAGUGUUCCGCCUGGGGAGUACGCACGCAAGUGUGAAACUCANAGGAAUUGACGGGGGCCCGCACAAGCGGUGGAGUAUGUGGAUU